Molecule: ribosomal RNA, 192 nt
Filed under: uncultured Staphylococcus sp.
Lineage: Bacteria; Bacillati; Bacillota; Bacilli; Caryophanales; Staphylococcaceae
Description: partial 16S ribosomal RNA
Rfam family: Bacterial small subunit ribosomal RNA
Source: RNAcentral
UUCGGGAAACCGGAGCUAAUACCGGAUAAUAUAUUGAACCGCAUGGUUCAAUAGUGAAAGACGGUUUUGCUGUCACUUAUAGAUGGAUCCGCGCCGCAUUAGCUAGUUGGUAAGGUAACGGCUUACCAAGGCAACGAUGCGUAGCCGACCUGAGAGGGUGAUCGGCCACACUGGAACUGAGACACGGCCCAG